Molecule: long non-coding RNA, 515 nt
Organism: Parus major (Great Tit)
Lineage: Eukaryota; Metazoa; Chordata; Aves; Passeriformes; Paridae
Exons: 3
Source: RefSeq, a predicted model, not a curated record
GAGCAAGGAACAGCUCCUCGGAACGCCCUUCUGCCCUCCCCGCCCCGCGCCGGUGGCACCGGGCUGGAGGGGCUCGGUCCCGCGGGGAGCGGCCCUGUGCGCUGUUUCAUACCUGAGAACUCCGGCACCAUUCCACAUCACUCAAACACAUGGCUGUGGCAUCUGGUAUGGAUACCAGAAGACACAUGAUCCAUUGAUUUCAGAGGAGAAGCAACAGUGACCCAAGCACAAGUGCCACUGCUGAGCUCAGCAUCAGCUUGUGUCUUACAUAAACCUUAAGGAACUGGAAGGGCAUAUGGUUAACUCCUGCUGGAAUAAUCUCUGCUGACAGCCUCUGAGACCAUUUGGAAAGCGUCAGAAGUGAGAUGUUUCGUACCAUGCUGCAUUACUGGAGCCGGACACAGCAGGAAGUCUCCUAUCCUGCCCUACUGGUAUGAACCUGCUCCAGCGAGGAACAGCUGAUAGAGACAACAAUAAAAACUUCACACAAUAAAAACUCCUCUAUUUUUUGCUGA